UUGGCGAAGCUGUGCUUGCACAGCCUAGCCAAUGCGGACGGGUGAGUAACGCGUAAGGGACUUGCCCUGCAGUCAGGGAUAACAGACGGAAACGACUGAUAAGACCUGAUAAAGUCAGGCGGACUCAUGUCCAGCCUGAUGAAAAGGAAUGCUGCAGGAGAGCCUUGCGUCCUAUUAGCUUGUUGGUGGGGUAACGGCCCACCAAGGCGAUGAUAGGUAGCCGGCCUGAGAGGGUGGACGGCCACAAGGGGACUGAGAUACGGCCCUUACUCCUACGGGAGGCAGCAGUGGGGAAUAUUGGACAAUGGGGGCAACCCUGAUCCAGCAAUUCUGUGUGCACGAUGAAGGUCUUCGGAUUGUAAAGUGCUUUCAGCAGGGAAGAAAAAAAUGACGGUACCUGCAGAAGAAGUGACGGCUAAAUACGUGCCAGCAGCCGCGGUAAUACGUAUGUCGCGAGCGUUAUCCGGAAUUAUUGGGCAUAAAGGGCAUCUAGGCGGCCCUGUAAGUCUAGGGUGAAAACCUGCGGCUCAACCGCAGGCCUGCCCCGGAAACUACAGGGCUAGAGUGCUGGAGAGGUGGACGGAACUGCACGAGUAGAGGUGAAAUUCGUAGAUAUGUGCAGGAAUGCCGAUGAUGAAGAUAGUUCACUGGACGGCAACUGACGCUGAAGUGCGAAAGCUAGGGGAGCAAACAGGAUUAGAUANCCUGGUAGUCCUAGCCGUAAACGAUGAUUACUGGGUGUGGGCAUGAAGAGUGUCCGUGCC
RNAcentral lists this ribosomal RNA (764 nucleotides) under uncultured Leptotrichia sp. RNAcentral's name for it is "bacterial SSU rRNA". It matches the Rfam family "Bacterial small subunit ribosomal RNA", at positions 66 to 847 of the family's 1533-position model. Lineage: Bacteria; Fusobacteriati; Fusobacteriota; Fusobacteriia; Fusobacteriales; Leptotrichiaceae. The record is from RNAcentral.